UAUUGCACAAUGGGGGAAACCCUGAUGCAGCGACGCCGCGUGAGUGAAGAAGCGUUUCGGCGCGUAAAGCUCUAUCAGCAGGGAAGAUGAAAGGACGGUACCUGAGUAAGAAGCCCCGGCUAACUACGUGCCAGCAGCCGCGGUAAUACGUAGGGGGCAAGCGUUAUCCGGAAUUACUGGGUGUAAAGGGAGCGUAGACGGUGAUGUAAGUCUGGAGUGAAAGGCGGGGGCCCAACCCCCGGACUGCUCUGGAAACUAUGUGACUGGAGUGCAGGAGAGGUGAGCGGAAUUCCUAGUGUAGCGGUGAAAUGCGUAGAUAUUAGGAGGAACACCAGUGGCGAAGGCGGCUCACUGGACUGUAACUGACGUUGAGGCUCGAAAGCGUGGGGAGCAAACAGG
This 399-nucleotide ribosomal RNA is filed under the name uncultured bacterium. RNAcentral describes it as "bacterial SSU rRNA". It matches the Rfam family "Bacterial small subunit ribosomal RNA", at positions 362 to 776 of the family's 1533-position model. The record is from RNAcentral.